CAGAUUGAACGCUGGCGGUAUGCCUAACACAUGCAAGUCGAACGAGGUAGCAAUACCUAGUGGCGGACGGGUGAGGAAUACGUAGGGAUCUGCCUUUAAGUGGGGGAUAACCCGGGGAAACCCGGAUUAAUACCGCAUGAUCUCGCAAGAGCAAAGAGGGGGACCGCAAGGCCUCUCGCUUUUAGAGGAACCUACGUCGGAUUAGCUAGUUGGUGAGGUAAUGGCUCACCAAGGCGACGAUCCGUAACUGGUCUGAGAGGAUGAUCAGUCACACCGGAACUGAGACACGGUCCGGACUCCUACGGGAGGCAGCAGUGGGGAAUAUUGGACAAUGGGCGAAAGCCUGAUCCAGCAAUACCGCGUGUGUGAAGAAGGCCUUCGGGUUGUAAAGCACUUUAAGUUGGGAAGAAAAAGCUUCACCUAAUACGUGGAGCCUUGACGGUACCGACAGAAUAAGCACCGGCUAACUCUGUGCCAGCAGCCGCGGUAAUACAGAGGGUGCUAGCGUUAAUCGGAUUUACUGGGCGUAAAGCGUGCGUAGGCGGUUUAAUAAGUCGAUUGUGAAAGCCCCGGGCUCAACCUGGGAAUUGCGGUCGAUACUGUCAGACUCGAAAACGGUAGAGGGAGGCGGAACUCCAGGUGUAGCGGUGAAAUGCGUAGAUAUCUGGAAGAACACCGAUGGCGAAGGCAACCUCCUGGGCCUGUUUUGACGCUGAGGCACGAAAGCGUGGGUAGCAAACAGGAUUAGAUACCCUGGUAGUCCACGCCGUAAACGAUGAGAACUUGACGUUGGUUUG
This 797-nucleotide ribosomal RNA is filed under the name Nevskia sp. RNAcentral describes it as "bacterial SSU rRNA". It matches the Rfam family "Bacterial small subunit ribosomal RNA", at positions 25 to 830 of the family's 1533-position model. The record is from RNAcentral. Lineage: Bacteria; Pseudomonadati; Pseudomonadota; Gammaproteobacteria; Nevskiales; Nevskiaceae.